UCCUUUCUGCCAAUUCCCCGUGGGACUAUGUUCCCCCUUUCGCCCAGACUCCCCCCCCCUCAUCGCCAUGGCCCGUUCUACACCUAUUAUCACCUACGGACCUUGCUACCACAAAAUUCACCAUCUUCCCUACCUUUUCCAUCCCUCGACCUCCUCCGGCAUCUGGCCGGCCGCCGGCAUCCCUCGGCUUCCUUAGGUGCUCUCUUGCAUCGUCGCCUCCCGUAAUAGAUCCAGAUACGAGCAUCCUCAUUUUAGGUAGUUGACACCUAAAGGUUCUAUCAUUCAAUGAACCUCAUCGCCAUGCUCCAGUAUCCCCUCCUCGUGCGAUUCCACCUUCGCCAUCUCCACCCUCAGUUCUAGCACCGAAAUUAUGAAUCCAAGACCAGAAUACCGCUCUCGAAGUGAGUCGACCUACAUAGAUCUUGAUGUGAAUUUGAUGGCGAGAAUAGGUAAUCGAAUUUCCUCUUCAUGAAUAGUUAAGCAUCUACCAUCCCUCGAUCUCCUUUGGUUCUCUCUUGCAUCGCCACCUUCCAUCAUAGAUCCAGGUAUAGCAACAUACCACACUUAGCGUAGCUGACACCCAUAAGUUUCUAUUAUUCGCUCAUAGCACCUGUUGACCGCAUGAUACUAUGUUUCUCACAUCCACAACCUCGCUUCUAGCCACCGAGAACCUAGAUCCCCUAGUUGCCAUAACAUUAGGAGUAGGCUGACCUAUGCAGAUCUGGAUGUGGAUCCGGUGAGAACUCAUAUCCGACAUUCCCCUUCGGCAACAUUUUUUUAUCUCCCAUUAAUUCUUUACCAUAUCAAAAAUUCCCUUGGUCGCUAUAGCAUUAGGAGUCGGCUGACCUACGCAGAUCUGGAUGUGGAUCCGGUGAGAACUCAUAUCCGACUCCCCCCUUCGGCAAUAGGUAUUUUUUUCAAUCUUUCGUAAUUUUUUACCAUAUAAAAUAUUUCCUUGGUCGCCAUAACAUUAGGAGUCGACUGAUCUAUGCAGAUUAAGAUGUGGAUCCGGUGAGAACUCAUAUCCGAUUUUCCCCUUCGGUAACAGGUAUUCUUUUGAUAUUUCGUUAAUUCUUUACCAUAUCGAAAAUUCCCUUGGUCGCCAUAACAUUAGUAGUCGGCUGACCUAUGCAGAUCUGGAUGUGGAUUCGGUGAGAACUCGUAUUCCGACUUUCCCCUUCGGCACCAGGUAUUUUUUCGAUCUUUAGUUAAUUCUUUACCAUAUCGAUAAUAAUUUUAAUUUUUUAUUCUACUGCAACUGCCCACAAAAAGGAAAGAGCCCCAAACACAUCCAUAGCUACCCUUGAAAUCAGCACAUAAAGCUACUUCUACCUGCAUCCAAUUCAAGCGGCACCAGUACAAAACUACAAUUCAUACAAAAUCAGUUCACUUUUCAUAUUUCUUUUAUCAAAAAGGAGGACCACCCCCGGCUUUCCAGUGUCACAUGGAAUCCAUGUUGAUACAAAAGUAGUAGUCGGAUGCCGUGCAAAACACCGUCCAUCGCCCUCGGCCUCUCACCCUAACGUAGUUCCCUUUUCACAGCGUGUGUCUUCUAUAUAUAGGCGCACACACCCUAACAUAGUUUCCACACCACCGCAUCGAUCCCCCACUACACCAACCACCGCCGCCACCGCAAAAGAACGAGCACCUGAGGAGAGGGCCGGCGCCUCUCCCCAGUCCCGACAUUAUCCUUCCUUGCCUAGAAGGCUAGAAGAAC
This 1717-nucleotide long non-coding RNA is filed under the name Triticum aestivum (bread wheat). RNAcentral describes it as "long non-coding RNA (TAES_LNC017789)". Lineage: Eukaryota; Viridiplantae; Streptophyta; Magnoliopsida; Poales; Poaceae. The record is from RNAcentral.